Molecule: ribosomal RNA, 253 nt
Filed under: uncultured bacterium
Lineage: Bacteria
Description: partial 16S ribosomal RNA
Rfam family: Bacterial small subunit ribosomal RNA
Source: RNAcentral
GACGUGGGGGGCGAGCGUUGUCCGGAUUCAUUGGGCGUAAAGAGCGCGUAGGCGGCCCGGAAAGUGGGGUGUGAAAACCCGAGGCUCAACCUCGGGCGUGCACUCCAAACUCCCGGGCUUGAGGCAGGUAGGGGAGAUCGGAAUUCCUGGUGUAGCGGUGAAAUGCGCAGAUAUCAGGAGGAACACCGGUGGCGAAGGCGGAUCUCUGGGCCUGUUCUGACGCUGAGGCGCGAAAGCUAGGGGAGCGAACAGG